GAUGAAGAACGUAGCGAAAUGCGAUACUUGGUGUGAAUUGCAGAAUCCCGUGAACCAUCGAGUCUUUGAACGCAAGUUGCGCCCGAAGCCGUCAGGCCGAGGGCACGCCUGCCUGGGCGUCACACGCCGUUGCCCCCCCGCGCCCCGCACCCAACUCUUUGGGAGCGACCGCGGGGCGGGCUGAUGAUGGCCUCCCGUGCGCUCCGCCGCGCGGUUGGCCCAAAUACCGAGUCCCCGGCGACGUGCGCCACGACGAUCGGUGGUUGAGAGACCUCUGUCGCAAGUCGUGCGCGCCCGUCGCGUCACGCGGGCUCGCAUAGCGCCUCGCGCCGCACCCGGUGCGGAGCUUUCAACGCAACCCCAGGUCAGGCGGGGUUACCCGCUGAAUUUAAGCAUAUCAAUAAGCGGAGGA
RNAcentral lists this unclassified non-coding RNA (412 nucleotides) under soil metagenome. RNAcentral's name for it is "partial contains 5.8S ribosomal RNA, internal transcribed spacer 2, and large subunit ribosomal RNA". The stretch from base 1 to 122 matches the Rfam family "5.8S ribosomal RNA", at positions 35 to 154 of the family's 154-position model. The record is from RNAcentral.